This 401-nucleotide ribosomal RNA is filed under the name uncultured bacterium. RNAcentral's name for it is "bacterial SSU rRNA". It matches the Rfam family "Bacterial small subunit ribosomal RNA", at positions 356 to 773 of the family's 1533-position model. The record is from RNAcentral.
GAGGAAUAUUGGGCAAUGGGCGCAAGCCUGACCCAGCAACGCCGCGUGAAGGAAGACGGUCUUCGGAUUGUAAACUUCUUUUGUCAGGGACGAAUAAUGACGGUACCUGGCGAAUAAGCCACGGCUAACUACGUGCCAGCAGCCGCGGUAAUACGUAGGUGGCAAGCGUUGUCCGGAUUUACUGGGUGUAAAGGGCGAGUAGGCGGAUUUGCAAGUCAGGUGUGAAAGCCCGGGGCUUAACCCCGGGUCUGCAUUUGAAACUGCGGAUCUUGAGUAUCGGAGAGGCAGGCGGAAUUCCCGGUGUAGCGGUGGAAUGCGUAGAUAUCGGGAGGAACACCAGUGGCGAAGGCGGCCUGCUGGACGACAACUGACGCUGAGGAGCGAAAGCGUGGGGAGCAAAC